GGUCAUACAGUCAAUUAAACAGUAAUGUAGUCUCAAUCAUACUUACAAGAGCUUUAACAUGUAGGGAAUUACUUGGGGACUAAAACGAAACAUUCCACAAAAUAGUGAAAAAACAGUUGAAUAGGGGUCACAUGGCCGUGUGAGGGGGUAUAGAUCGUGUUUUUGAGAUACAUGUUCGUGUGGUCAGGCCAUGUAACUCACUGUAGCCGUGUGCAAAUUGAUAACUUUUCCCAACAAUGGUCACAUGGCC
Molecule: long non-coding RNA, 250 nt
Filed under: Gossypium barbadense (sea-island cotton)
Lineage: Eukaryota; Viridiplantae; Streptophyta; Magnoliopsida; Malvales; Malvaceae
Description: long non-coding RNA (GBAR_LNC017557)
Source: RNAcentral